This 253-nucleotide ribosomal RNA is filed under the name uncultured bacterium. Its description in RNAcentral is "partial 16S ribosomal RNA". It matches the Rfam family "Bacterial small subunit ribosomal RNA", at positions 524 to 776 of the family's 1533-position model. The record is from RNAcentral.
UACGAAGGGGGCUAGCGUUGCUCGGAAUGACUGGGCGUAAAGGGCGCGUAGGCGGCUUGCACAGUCAGGCGUGAAAUUCCUGGGCUCAACCUGGGGACUGCGCUUGAGACGUGUGGGCUUGAGUGGGGAAGAGGGUCGUGGAAUUCCCAGUGUAGAGGUGAAAUUCGUAGAUAUUGGGAAGAACACCGGUGGCGAAGGCGGCGACCUGGUCCUUGACUGACGCUGAGGCACGAAAGCCAGGGGAGCAAACAGG